Molecule: ribosomal RNA, 491 nt
Filed under: uncultured bacterium
Lineage: Bacteria
Description: partial 16S ribosomal RNA
Rfam family: Bacterial small subunit ribosomal RNA
Source: RNAcentral
AGUGAACGCUGGCGGUAGGCCUAACACAUGCAAGUCGAACGGCAGCACAGUAAGAGCUUGCUCUUACGGGUGGCGAGUGGCGGACGGGUGAGGAAUACAUCGGAAUCUACUUUUUCGUGGGGGAUAACGUAGGGAAACUUACGCUAAUACCGCAUACGACCUACGGGUGGAAGCAGGGGAUCUUCGGACCUUGCGCGAUUGAAUUAGCCGAUGUCGGAUUAGCUAGUUGGCGGGGUAAAGGCCCACCAUGGCGACGAUCCGUAGCUGGUCUGAGAGGAUGAUCAGCCACACUGGAACGGAGACACGGUCCAGACCCCUACGGGAGGCAGCAGUGGGAAAUAUUGGACAAUGGGCGAAAGCCUGAUCCAGCCAUCCCGCGUGGGUGAAGAAGGCCUUCGGGUUGUAAAGCCCUUUUGUUGGGAAAGAAAAGCAGCAGGUUAAUACCCCGCUGUUCUGACGGUACCCAAAGAAUAAGCACCGGCUAACUUCGU